CGAGACGGAUGGACACCAAAACCACUGUGUGCUGAAAUGUGUGCAGCACCUAACAUCCCAAAUGCAGAUAUUGUUCGAGGUCAGAGACAAAAAUAUGGAGUCAAUUCAAGAAUAACAUUUAAAUGUCAUCCUGGAUUUGAACCAGAGGAGCCUUUUGAAAUCACCUGUGAUUACCGGGGCCAGUGGAUAGGCUUACGUCAGCAAUGCACUGUCUCAGAGAAAUGUGGACCACCACCAGACGUGAACGAUGCAGAUACAAUAGAAAUAACAAGAAAGGAAUACAAUACAGGGGAGAGAGUUGAAUACAGCUGCUUU
Sinocyclocheilus grahami is the source of this 315-nucleotide long non-coding RNA. RefSeq lists it as uncharacterized. The transcript is spliced from 3 exons. The record is from RefSeq and is a predicted model, not a curated record. NCBI's taxonomy places the organism in Eukaryota, Metazoa, Chordata, Actinopteri, Cypriniformes, Cyprinidae.